AGAGUUUGAUCCUGGCUCAGAUUGAACGCUGGCGGCAUGCCUAACACAUGCAAGUCGAACGCGAAAGGGGGCAACCCUGAGUAGAGUGGCGGACGGGUGCGUAACACGUAGGAAUCUACCCAGUAGCGGGGGACAACCCGGCGAAAGCCGGGCUAAUACCGCAUAAGCCCUAUGGGGGAAAGCAGGGGAUCUUCGGACCUUGCACUAUUGGAUGAGCCUGCGGCGGAUUAGCUAGUUGGUAGGGUAAAGGCCUACCAAGGCGACGAUCCGUAGCUGGUCUGAGAGGACGACCAAGCCACACUGGACUGAGACACGCC
RNAcentral lists this ribosomal RNA (317 nucleotides) under uncultured bacterium. Its description in RNAcentral is "bacterial SSU rRNA". It matches the Rfam family "Bacterial small subunit ribosomal RNA", at positions 8 to 332 of the family's 1533-position model. The record is from RNAcentral.